Molecule: ribosomal RNA, 249 nt
Filed under: Triticum aestivum (bread wheat)
Lineage: Eukaryota; Viridiplantae; Streptophyta; Magnoliopsida; Poales; Poaceae
Description: partial small subunit ribosomal RNA
Source: RNAcentral
AUGUGGUUCGUCUCCUUUGUUGGGAGGAUGCUCUUCGCCUCCGUCUUCAUCCUCCCCGCCUACCAGGAGUACGCUCUCCUACCCCCGCCUCCCGGGACCGAUGCACCGCUCUGCGGUGGAGCCAGGCCCCUAGCUCCUGGUCGUCGGUGCGAUGCCCGAGGGUUGGUUUGUGCGUGUGAAUGUGGUGAGAUCCGGCCGGGCGGCGCCUUGGUCUGUCCUGUCGCGGUAGAUCUCGCUGGUGUAGGGUAG